GUAUCAUUAGAAAUGUUUAGCCCAGCCGGCUCAGAAAACCGCUGCGACCGCUGCCAUAUUAACUACAAUUUAUAUUUACCAGCUUUUGCUCUGCUGUUGUUUUGUGCGAAUAUUGAUCGUAGUUCUCAAAAUACUCAGAACAGCAUGAAAAUCACCAUCAUUUCUCGAAUUGACAAACCAAGUGAAAACCGAGGUGAAAACUUUUCUCUUCCUGCGGCUUCUGAAGAGACAACCGAAAAUCAAGCGGAUUGAGUCGGAACCAUAUCAAGCGGAUUGAGCCCAAGAUCAGUUCUACCAGAAAACAGCAGCACAGCAGUCCAAUACAUUUUCGAUUUAGCAGCAGCAGCUUACUCACCAUGCAAAUCACAUCAGCACCCGGAAAUCUUCGCCCGUUCCCAUCACCCGUCCAUCUCACCAUAUUUAACAUUGCAUGUAAUUUACUUGUGUGAUUAUUAUGAAUAAAGUAAAAUUUAAUAUCUCGCAA
This is a long non-coding RNA of Aedes albopictus (Asian tiger mosquito), 484 nucleotides long. RefSeq lists it as uncharacterized. Lineage: Eukaryota; Metazoa; Arthropoda; Insecta; Diptera; Culicidae. The transcript is spliced from 2 exons. The record is from RefSeq and is a predicted model, not a curated record.